Molecule: ribosomal RNA, 459 nt
Filed under: uncultured bacterium
Lineage: Bacteria
Description: partial 16S ribosomal RNA
Rfam family: Bacterial small subunit ribosomal RNA
Source: RNAcentral
CCUACGGGUGGCAGCAGUGAGGAAUCUUGGUCAAUGGGCGCGAGCCUGAACCAGCCAAGUAGCGUGAAGGAUGACUGCCCUACGGGUUGUAAACUUCUUUUAUAAAGGAAUAAAGUGAGGCACGUGUGCCUUUUUGAAUGUACUUUAUGAAUAAGGAUCGGCUAACUCCGUGCCAGCAGCCGCGGUAAUACGGAGGAUGCGAGCGUUAUCCGGAUUUAUUGGGUUUAAAGGGUGCGUAGGCGGGCAUUGAAGGCGGCGGUCAAAUUGCGGGGCUCAACCCCGGCCUGCCGUUGGAACUGGGUGCCUUGAGUGGGCGAGAAGUAUGCGGAAUGCGUGGUGUAGCGGUGAAAUGCAUAGAUAUCACGCAGAACCCCGAUUGCGAAGGCAGCAUACCGGCGCCCUACUGACGCUGAGGCACGAAAGUGCGGGUAUCGAACAGGAUUAGAUACCCCAGUAGUC